Molecule: ribosomal RNA, 380 nt
Filed under: uncultured cyanobacterium
Lineage: Bacteria; Bacillati; Cyanobacteriota
Description: bacterial SSU rRNA
Rfam family: Bacterial small subunit ribosomal RNA
Source: RNAcentral
CGCAAGCCUGACGGAGCAACGCCGCGUGAGGGAUGAAGGCCUCUGGGCUGUAAACCUCUUUUCUCAAGGAAGAAAAAAAUGACGGUACUUGAGGAAUAAGCAUCGGCUAACUCCGUGCCAGCAGCCGCGGUAAUACGGAGGAUGCAAGCGUUAUUCGGAAUUAUUGGGCGUAAAGCGUCCGCAGGUGGUAUUUCAAGUCUGCUGUCAAAGACCGAAGCUUAACUUCGGAAAGGCAGUGGAAACUGAAAAACUAGAGUACGGUAGGGGUAGAGGGAAUUUCCAGUGUAGCGGUGAAAUGCGUAGAGAUUGGAAAGAACACCAGUGGCGAAGGCGCUCUACUGGGCCGUAACUGACACUCAGGGACGAAAGCUAGGGGAGCG